Molecule: long non-coding RNA, 1546 nt
Organism: Dermacentor andersoni
Lineage: Eukaryota; Metazoa; Arthropoda; Arachnida; Ixodida; Ixodidae
Source: RefSeq, a predicted model, not a curated record
UUGUCGGAGGUGGCUGUAAACUUAACACAUUUUCUAAACGCCCAUUGUCCUGCUUUUGUUUUGCGAUCAAAAGUGCGACGCAACAAGCUCGCUAAAGAAAAAGAAAGACACGUUAUAGAGAUUUUUGUUUUGGACCUUUUAUCUCACUUACCCAUUUGUGCAGCUGCACCUUAGGGAGAACUGCACGAGUAUAUUUUUAGUUUUUAUGUGAUGACGGCCGUUCCCAGAAGCGUUUCUUCACUAGAGCAGAUGUACAAGUUAGUAUGAAUACAGCUACUGAAACACAUAAAAAUGGUACACAAACCGUCGACGAUGACUGCUGACCGCUUUCGUCGCUGGAUUUGCCGCAAGUGAAACAGUUGUGUGACGCCUACAAGAUUGCAGAACUGCAUCGUCCUGGCCUUGUAUCGCUUAUCGGACACCUACGCGGUUCCCUUGGCGCCUUCCCUACCACAAGAGGGAACCAGAGCAGCACGGCCGGCUUAAAAAAGGGGCGGAUUGACGACCAGGCCCUCAAGACCUACGAAUAGCUUCGGUUAACGGUACUCUUGCUGGUCAAGAAGCCGUAUCUGUCCUAAACACUCACCUUCUUCAAUGCUGCAGCAACAUUUCUGCCGCAGACCCAGAAGAAAUAGGUCAUGCUUUUGUGAAACCGACUGUACAAAAUUCUUUUAUAUUAUUUCCGGCGACACCAAGCGAAGUAGAAAGCGUGAUAGAUAAUUUUAAGUCAAACAGUGCUGCAGGUUUCGACGGUAUCAUCGCAUCUCCAAUAAAAUAUGUGCCUGACAUAACCUCUAAAGUCUUAGCUCAUAUUAUUAAUAAAAUGUAUGAUUCCGGAAUUUUUCCUAGCAAACUUAAUAUAGCCAGAGUUUGCCCGGUUCAUAAAUGUGGCGCUGACCAUAGUAUAAAAAGCCUAAAAAUUUCCUGCCUAAUCAAUACUACCGCUUUUUUACAAACUUUUUGAAACUGUUCUAAACGCUCAACUAGAGGGUUGGUUAAGGAAAUGUUAUAUUAUUAGUACGGCACAGCAUAGAUUUAAAAAAAAUAAAUUUUGUGGUGAUGCGGCUGAAAUAUAAAACAUCAAAUACUGCAAAAUAUGGAAAACCGUUUAUACACAGUUUGCUUAUUUCUGGACCUGCGUAAGGCGUUUGACAGUGUAAAUCAUGUUAUACUUCUGUGCAAACUUUAUGACUUACGGUAUACGUGACACAGCAUCAUAUUUAAUGAGAACUUACUUAAUGGAUCGUUACCAGUUUGUUUCAUAUAAUCAGGCGACUUCCUCACUUCUCAAAAUACAGACUGGCGUGCCACAGGAAUUCAUACUUGGUCCUGUGUUAUUUCACCUUUAUAUUAAUUACCUUCCUAACAUUUCUUCCUCCCCUAAUAUCAUCAUGCACGCAGAUGAUAUUAAUAUUCUCCUUGCAAGUUCUUCCCUGCAAUGUUUACAAAUGGAAAUAAUUGAUUCCUUGAACUUAUUAUCUGGAUGGCUGUACACAAGCAAAUUAAAAUUGAAUGUCAAUAAAACCAGUAUAUAAUUUUUAAACCG